UUGUGGAGGAGGACGCCGAAGGUGGGGCUAAUGACUGGGGUGAAGUCGUAACAAGGUAGCCGUACCGGAAGGUGCGGCUGGAUCACCUCCUAACAGGGAGACAACAAAAUGUUAAAUAUUAAUUUUGUCACCUUAGGUCGAUCGGUACCUCACAUUCUUAAUUUAUUAAGGAUUUUAUUUCCUAAGUUUUUCUAGGUCACAUCCAUUAUUUUUCCUGGGCCAUUAGCUCAGGUGGUUAGAGCGCACCCCUGAUAAGGGUGAGGUCCCUGGUUCAAGUCCAGGAUGGCCCAUAUCUCUAUGUUGGGGGUAUAGCUCAGUUGGUAGAGCGCCUGCUUUGCAAGCAGGAUGUCAGCGGUUCGAGUCCGCUUACCUCCACUGAUUACCACCUCUUCCAUAAUUUUAUAGAAAGGAAAUUUUUUGAGUUGUGAUCAAAUUCUGAACGAUUCUAGCUUCCUAAUUAGAUUAUUAAGAUGCUGGACUCAUUGAAUUAAUUUCAUUGUUUUCAGAGAACCUUGACAACUGCAUAGAUUAUUUUUAAAGACAAUAAGCAUCUUUAAUGAUGCAGAUUUAUUAUUUUUGCGAAUGCAUUAAUAACAAUUCUAUUAAGCUGAUGCUUCAAAUUUUGAAGUUAUUGGUCAAGCUACAA
Molecule: unclassified non-coding RNA, 646 nt
Filed under: uncultured Prochlorococcus sp.
Lineage: Bacteria; Bacillati; Cyanobacteriota; Cyanophyceae; Synechococcales; Prochlorococcaceae
Description: partial 16S-23S ribosomal RNA intergenic spacer; may also contain 16S ribosomal RNA and 23S ribosomal RNA
Rfam family: tRNA (bases 303-375)
Source: RNAcentral